Meriones unguiculatus (Mongolian gerbil) is the source of this 2429-nucleotide long non-coding RNA. RefSeq lists it as uncharacterized. NCBI's taxonomy places the organism in Eukaryota, Metazoa, Chordata, Mammalia, Rodentia, Muridae. The transcript has 3 exons. The record is from RefSeq and is a predicted model, not a curated record.
GGUUGGCGCCUGGCAGUGGUCCCGUUGUCCCCAGGUCCACGCCUUUCUUGCCUUGCCUCCGCUGCAGCGUUACUCAAGGGGAGUCCUCGUGGGGUGCCGCUGGGCAGCCCCUAGGCCAGCCUCCUGACUUCCCUGUUGAAGGGAGCAGGAUACACCUAGGAACCUGCAUGAAAUUGGUGUGUGGAGUGGAAGCUGCGUUUGGUUUGUCUUGAACAUCCCUGACUACUGAGGUACAUUUUUCCCCCCAAAGUAAUUUUGUAUAGUUUGGCUCCAGCCGUCUCCAAGACGCAGAGGGAAAGCGUGACUCCCUGUGGGUUGUAAGGAUCUGACUACGGGACCCCUGGGAUUGUGCGGGCGAAGCUCAUCUCUGCAGGCUUCUCUAGCUUUCUUUAAAAACGCAAAUUGGAACUGCUCAUUUGUAAUCUGACAGUUGGCAAACGCCAGAUAUCACUCCAUUUCCAUCGUCACAUCUACCCCGUACUCCCGACGCAACCAAGGUUUGGCCCAGCACCUUUGAUCCACCUCUAGGAACCCAGGGGCAUGAAAGCUCAGGGGCAAAAGGCUAGCAGUAGGCUAAAGGUACGAGCACUUGCCGCAUACGUGUGAGGAUUACUAAAUUCAGACGGAAAAAUCCGCUCAACGCCGCCGUAGACUUAAAGUUCUCCCCUGCUCCUCACAUGGACACUUGGUCUAUGACUCAUUCACAACAAGAUCACUUUUUUUUGAGAGUUUGGUAUUCUGUUCCACAUUAUGUUAGUGUUGAUGUCAAAUUUAAAAUGCAUAAAGCCCCUGUUGACUAAAAUAGACAUAAAGUUGAAUGAAAACGAAACAACCGACAGCCGUGACAUGCUCAUCACUUGGUUUUCUGCUCUGACAGUCCAUCUCAGGAGAUAGCCUGUCCACAGUGGCUCCUGCUGGCUCCCCAAUGAUGCCUUCUCCUCUUGAAACCGUGGUUGUUGCUUCGAUUUCUGCCUCAGUCUGUGUACCUUUCUCCGUCUUCACUGCUUCAUAAGGCCCUUCAUCAUUCAGGGCUCAGCUCAAACACCAUCUCCUCUGCAAAGCCAUAUAAGCACACAGAAGAAUUUGGUGCUCUUUCUUGCUUUUCCAUUUGAGAUCACAUGGUGUAGCUGUGGCCACUUUUCACGCAUCUCCAUUCUUGACUUUAAGGCUGAAGUAAGACCUCAUUCCUUUAAAUUGAUCUCAUCCAACACGGCUGCUGAUGCAUAGAUAUUAUAUAAUAUACACAUAUAUAAUAUAUACAGGUUCUCACACUGGCCUGAAACUCAUCAAGCAGACUGGACUGGCUGGCCAUAGAACAUUAGAAAUCCACCCGUUCUGCCUCAUUAACAUCAGGAUCACACACACACACACACACACACACACACACACACACACACCACGUUCCUGGCUAUUUUAGGUGGGUUCUGGGGAUCAAAUUCAGGCCCUUAUAUUUGUAUAGUAAACGCUUUGCUGGCAGAGCCAUCUCCUAAGCCCCAUGCAGUAAUCAGAAAAAGGCAAAACCAAGAAGACUUUGGCGCGAAGUCAGAAUGUUUACUACACUAAAGCGAAUGAGAGGAGGAAGGCAUUCCCAUGGCCUGUGCAGGGUAGUUGAUUCCGGUGGGGCCUUGGAAGGACUCAGGCUCUGUCUGUCCCUGCCAUGAGCUGUACUGUACAGACGGCGGGUGUCUCCAGAGACGCCAGUGCAGGAGGGGACCAGGCAGAGCCCAGCGGCUUCGUGUGGCAAUGAAGUGCAUUGUUGCCUUUUGUCUUCACACUCUCCAUUCAGCUGUGGGUAGAGAGCCGCUGUAUGCUGAUGAGAGGGACCUUGGGUGUUUGCAGGCAUUGAGCAUCGAACCCGCUUGGGAAGGAAAUGAAAACUGCCAAAGUCACCUAGCCCUUAAACAACACAAGAGGCCAGAGACAGCACCUGAAGCUCAAGAGCUCACGCAAACAGCAACUCUCGCGAUCCUGGCCUGCUGCUCUUCCUGCGCUCUUCAUCCCACGGUGGCGACUUUAUCUUCUUGACUGCUCCGCAAACGCUUAAGAGUCGUCACUCACAAUCGAUUUUAUUUUGAGAGUUUCUUGCUCUGUAUCUUAGGGUGGUCUCAAAGUCCAAAUCUUUCUGCCUCAGCCUCCUAUCUGCCGGGAUUGCGGAUAAGGUACUGUGGAGAGGGGAGGAGCUCAGAGGCCCCAUGCUCUCUGGGGAGCUGUGGGCCACUGACACUGACGGCUCGGCUCCUUGUGUGUAUGGCCACUGACAGGCUGUAUAUGCCCCAGUGCGCGGCCACACACCCCUGCACAUUAUACACAGCGCUUAUUAGACUCAGUGAGUUACAAAGAUAAAAGAGAGAAUAUGAAGCUGGUGGCACAGGUUGGGGGAUUAAGGAGCAAAAGGAGGGAUGGAUAUGAAGUAUUAUAUAUGUAAUAUA